This 1894-nucleotide long non-coding RNA is filed under the name Ananas comosus (pineapple). RNAcentral describes it as "long non-coding RNA (ACOM_LNC041834)". Lineage: Eukaryota; Viridiplantae; Streptophyta; Magnoliopsida; Poales; Bromeliaceae. The record is from RNAcentral.
ACUCGAAACCCAAAUCAAAUUGGAAAAUCAAAACGGGGAUUUCUUCGGACCACAAAUCAAAUUGAAAAAUCAAAACAGUGAUUUCUUCAGACCUCAAAGCCAAAUCAAAUUAGAAAAUCAAAAGGGAAUUUCUUCGGACCCCAAAUCCAAAUCAAAUUGCAAAAUCAAAUUCGGACCCCAAAUCAAAUUGCAAAUCCGAAUUAAGUUCACAUACGAACCCAAAUCUUCUUGUCCACAUAAGAACCCAAAUCAAACCAAGUCCACAUAAAAAUCCAAACCCAACACAAACCAAAAAUCUAAAUCCGAAACCCGAACCCAAAAUCCAAACCAAGUCCACAAAUAAAACUUGAACCAAAACUAAAAUCCAAACCAAGUCCACAAAUAAAACUUGAACCAAAACCAAAACCCAAAUCCAUUCCACAAAUAAACCCAAACCCAAAACCAAAUCAAGUCCACAUCCAAACCUAACCCAAACCAAGUUCACAUACAAACCCAAAUCAAAUCAAGUUCACAUAAGAACCCAAACCAAAUCAAGUCCACAAAUAAACCCAAAAUUGAGCCCAAACCAAAUCAAGUCCACAAAUAAACCAAAAUAAAACCAAAACCCAAAUAAAACCAAGUCCACAUAAAAAUCCAAACCCAAAUAAAAUCAAGUCCACAAAUAAACCCAAACCCAAAACUUGAACCAAAUCCAAAUCCAAAACAAAUCAAGUCCACAAAUAAAUCAAAACUUGAACCAAAAUCAAGUCAAGUUCACAUUCAAACCCAAACCAAACCCAAAACCCAAAUCAAAUCCAAAACCCAAACCAAACCAAGUCCAUGAACCAUAUCUAAGUUCAUGAACCAAAUCCCAUAUACCCAAUCUCAUGAACCAUGAACUAAGUCCAUACACCAAGUUCAUGAACCAUACCCAAAUCUCAUAAACCAUACCCAAGUUCGUGAACCAAACACCACGAAACAUACCCAAAUCUCAUAUACAUGAACCAUAAACCAAGUUCAUGAAUCAAAACUCAUAAACCCAGUUCAUGAAUCAAAUCCAUAAACCAUGAACCAAAUUCGUGAACAAAACACCACGAACCAUACCCAAGUUUAUGAACCAAGUUUCAUGAACCACAAACCAAAUCCCAUAAGCCAAAUUCGUGAACCAAACACCACGAACCAUACCCAAGUUCAUAAACCUCAUCCAUGAACCAUAUCUAAGUUCAUGAACCAAAUCCCAUGAACCAUAUACCAAACAUUAUGGACCAAAUCCCAUGAACCAUAUAUCAAACCUCAUUGAUCAAAUCCCAGGAACCAUAUACCAAACCCAAUGGACCAAAUCCCAUGAACCAUAUGCCAAAUCUCAUGGACCAAAUCCCAUGAACCAUAUACCAAACCUCAUGGACCAAAUCCCAUGGACCAUACACCAAAAUUCAUGAACCAAAUCCCAUGGACCAUAUACCGAACCUCAUAAACCAUACACCACAUCCCAUGAACCAAAUCUCAUACAUCCUAUACACCAAACCUCAAUGAAUCAAUAUCCAAAUAUUAUGAAUCAAUACCCAAAUAUUAUGAACCAAUACCCAAACCUAAUGAACCAAUAUCCAAAUCUCAUGCCCAAAGUUCAUCUCCCACUCGAUCGAGUUCUAAAUUAUAUACUUAAAAUCCAGUCAAAUGAUAUCAAAUUCAUUCGAACUCUAACACAUGUACUUAGAGUUCAUCCGACUAACCCUAAUACAUACCUUUAGGGUCCAGUCAACCUUUUACUCUAGCACAUAUACUUAGAGUGGAAGUCAAACCAAGCUUGACUAGUCCUAACCCAUAUACUUAAGGUCUAGUCAGUCUUUUGCUCUAGCACACCUACCUAGAGUGAAAUUCAUACCCGAUCGAGAUCUGAUACAUAUACUUAGAGCUC